RNAcentral lists this ribosomal RNA (252 nucleotides) under uncultured bacterium. RNAcentral's name for it is "partial 16S ribosomal RNA". It matches the Rfam family "Bacterial small subunit ribosomal RNA", at positions 525 to 776 of the family's 1533-position model. The record is from RNAcentral.
ACGAGGGGUGCUAGCGUUGUCCGGAAUCAUUGGGCGUAAAGGGUCCGUAGGCGAUCUAACAAGUCAAUUGUUAAAUACAUCGGCUUAACCGAUGAAAUGCAGUUGAAACUGUUAGAAUAGAGUUUAGGAGAGGAAAGUGGAAUUUCUGGUGUAGCGGUGACAUGCGUAGAUAUCAGAAGGAACACCAAUGGCGAAGGCAACUUUCUGGCCUAAAACUGACGCUGAGGGACGAAAGCGUGGGGAGCGAACAGG